UACGUAGGGUGCGAGCGUUAAUCGGAAUUACUGGGCGUAAAGCGUGCGCAGGCGGUUUUUUAAGCCCGAUGUGAAAGCCCCGGGCUUAACCUGGGAAUGGCAUUUGGGACUGCAAGGCUUGAGUGCGGCAGAGGAGACUGGAAUUCCCGGUGUAGCAGUGAAAUGCGUAGAUAUCGGGAGGAAUACCGAUGGCGAAGGCAGGUCUCUGGGCUGACACUGACGCUCAUGCACGAAAGCGUGGGGAGCAAACAGG
This 253-nucleotide ribosomal RNA is filed under the name uncultured bacterium. RNAcentral describes it as "partial 16S ribosomal RNA". It matches the Rfam family "Bacterial small subunit ribosomal RNA", at positions 524 to 776 of the family's 1533-position model. The record is from RNAcentral.